GAUGAAGAACGUAGCGAAAUGCGAUAAGUAGUGUGAAUUGCAGAAUUCAGUGAAUCAUCGAGUCUUUGAACGCACAUUGCGCCCCCUGGUAUUCCGGGGGGCAUGCCUGUCCGAGCGUCAUUGCUGCCCUCAAGCACGGCUUGUGUGUUGGGCCUCCGUCCUCCUCCCGGGGGACGGGCCCGAAAGGCAGCGGCGGCACCGCGUCCGGUCCUCGAGCGUAUGGGGCUUCGUCACCCGCUCUUGUAGGCCCGGCCGGAGCUUGCCGACACAUCAAUCUUUUUUCCAGGUUGACCUCGGAUCAGGUAGGGAUACCCGCUGAACUUAAGCAUAUCAAUAAGCGGAGGA
Molecule: unclassified non-coding RNA, 345 nt
Filed under: soil metagenome
Description: partial contains 5.8S ribosomal RNA, internal transcribed spacer 2, and large subunit ribosomal RNA
Rfam family: 5.8S ribosomal RNA (bases 1-120)
Source: RNAcentral